Molecule: ribosomal RNA, 227 nt
Filed under: uncultured bacterium
Lineage: Bacteria
Description: partial 16S ribosomal RNA
Rfam family: Bacterial small subunit ribosomal RNA
Source: RNAcentral
CGGGGUGAGUAAUGUCUGGGAAACUGCCUGAUGGAGGGGGAUAACUGCUGGAAACGGUAGCUAAUACCGCAUAACGUCGCAAGACCAAAGAGGGGGACCUUCGGGCCUCUUGCCAUCGGAUGUGCCCAGAUGGGAUUAGCUAGUAGGUGGGGUAACGGCUCACCUAGGCGACGAUCCCUAGCUGGUCUGAGAGGAUGCCAGCCACACUGAACUGAGACACGGUCCAG